RNAcentral lists this ribosomal RNA (462 nucleotides) under uncultured bacterium. Its description in RNAcentral is "bacterial SSU rRNA". It matches the Rfam family "Bacterial small subunit ribosomal RNA", at positions 1 to 507 of the family's 1533-position model. The record is from RNAcentral.
AGUAGUUUGAUCCGUGGCUACGAGGACGACGCUGGCGGUGUGCUUCACACAUGCAAGUCGAACGAGGUAGCAAUACCUAGUGGCGGACGGGUGAGUAACGCGUGGGAAUCUGCCUUUAGAUGGGGGAUAACGGGUCGAAAGACUCGCUAAUACCGCAUAUGACGAAAGUUGAAAGGAGUAAUCCGUCUAAAGAUGAGCCCGCGUCCGAUUAGCUAGUUGGUAGAGUAAAAGCCUACCAAGGCGACGAUCGGUAGCUGGUCUGAGAGGAUGAUCAGCCACAAUGGGACUGAGACACGGCCCAUACUCCUACGGGGAGGCAGCAGUGGGGAAUUUUACGCAAGUGGGCGAAAGCCUGACGUAGCGACACCGCGUGAGCGAAGAACGCCCCUUGGGGUGUAAAGCUCUGUCAGCUGGAACGAAAAAAUGACGGUACCAGCAGAGGAAGCAUCGGCUAACUACGUG